RNAcentral lists this unclassified non-coding RNA (110 nucleotides) under Metschnikowia picachoensis. RNAcentral's name for it is "partial contains internal spacer 2 and 28S ribosomal RNA". The record is from RNAcentral. Lineage: Eukaryota; Fungi; Ascomycota; Pichiomycetes; Serinales; Metschnikowiaceae.
CUCUCAAACCUUCGGUUUGGUUUUGCCCCGGCUAAAUAUCAACGGCGCUAGAAUAAGUUUUAGCCCCCUCCUUUUUCCUCACCCUCGUAAGACUACCCGCUGAACUUAAG